Molecule: ribosomal RNA, 301 nt
Filed under: uncultured bacterium
Lineage: Bacteria
Description: partial 16S ribosomal RNA
Rfam family: Bacterial small subunit ribosomal RNA
Source: RNAcentral
CAGCCGCCGCGGGAAUACAGAGGGUGCAAGCGUUAAUCGGAAUUACUGGGCGUAAAGCGCGCGUAGGUGGUUUGUUAAGUUGGAUGUGAAAUCCCCGGGCUCAACCUGGGAACUGCAUCCAAAACUGGCAAGCUAGAGUAUGGUAGAGGGUGGUGGAAUUUCCUGUGUAGCGGUGAAAUGCGUAGAUAUAGGAAGGAACACCAGUGGCGAAGGCGACCACCUGGACUGAUACUGACACUGAGGUGCGAAAGCGUGGGGAGCAAACAGGAUUAGAUACCCAGUAGUCCCUGUCUCUUAUACC